Molecule: ribosomal RNA, 466 nt
Filed under: uncultured bacterium
Lineage: Bacteria
Description: partial 16S ribosomal RNA
Rfam family: Bacterial small subunit ribosomal RNA
Source: RNAcentral
GAUGAACGCUGGCGGCGUGCUUAACACAUGCAAGUCGAACGAUGAAGCUCAGCUUGCUGGGUGGAUUAGUGGCGAACGGGUGAGUAACACGUGAGUAACCUGCCCUUAACUCUGGGAUAAGCCUGGGAAACUAGGUCUAAUACCGGAUAGGAGCGUCCACCGCAUGGUGGGUGUUGGAAAGAUUUAUCGGUUUUGGAUGGACUCGCGGCCUAUCCGCUUGUUGGUGAGGUAAUGGCUCACCAAGGCGACGACGGGUAGCCGGCCUGAGAGGGUGACCGGCCACACUGGGACUGAGACACGGCCCAGACUCCUACGGGAGGCAGCAGUGGGGAAUAUUGCACAAUGGGCGAAAGCCUGAUGCAGCGACGCCGCGUGAGGGAUGACGGCCUUCGGGUUGUAAACCUCUUUCAGUAGGGAAGAAGCGAAAGUGACGGUACCUGCAGAAGAAGCACCGGCUAACUACGUG